This 256-nucleotide ribosomal RNA is filed under the name uncultured bacterium. Its description in RNAcentral is "partial 16S ribosomal RNA". The record is from RNAcentral.
CUGCUGCCUUCCGUAGGAGUUUGGGCCGUGUCUCAGUCCCAAUGUGGCCGUUCACCCUCUCAGGCCGGCUACUGAUCGUUGCCUUGGUAGGCCAUUACCCCACCAACUAGCUAAUCAGACGCGGAACCCAUCGUAUACCACCAGAGUUUUUCACACCGCUUCAUGCGAAGCUGUGCGCUUAUGCGGUAUUAGCACCUAUUUCUAAGUGUUAUCCCCCAGUAUACGGCAGGUUUUCCACGCGUUACUCACCCGUCCG